AGCAGCCGCGGUAAUUCCAGCUCCAAUAGCGUAUAUUAAAGUUGUUGCAGUUAAAAAGCUCGUAGUUGAAUUUCGGGGUUAGUAGGUUGGUCAUGCCACUGGUAUGUACUGGUCUCACUGAUUCCUCCUUCCUGAUGAACCGUAAUGCCAUUAAUUUGGUGUUGCGGGGAGACUGGACUGUUACUUUGAAAAAAUUAGAGUGUUUAAAGCAGGCUAACGCUUGAAUACAUUAGCAUGGAAUAAUGAAAUAGGACGUUCGAUCCUAUUUUGUUGGUUUCUAGGAUUGACGUAAUGAUUAAUAGGGAUAGUUGGGGGCAUUAGUAUUCAAUUGUCAGAGGUGAAAUUCUUGGAUUUAUUGAAGACUAACUACUGCGAAAGCAUUUGCCAAGGAUGUUUUCAUUAAUCAAGAACGAAAGUUAGGGGAUCGAAGACGAUCAGAUACCGUCGUAGUCUUAACCAUAAACUAUGCCGACUAGGGAUCGGAUGAUGUUAAUUUUUAAUGACUCAUUCGGCGCCUUAA
This 520-nucleotide ribosomal RNA is filed under the name uncultured Glomus. RNAcentral's name for it is "SSU rRNA". It matches the Rfam family "Eukaryotic small subunit ribosomal RNA", at positions 569 to 1091 of the family's 1831-position model. The record is from RNAcentral. Lineage: Eukaryota; Fungi; Glomeromycota; Glomeromycetes; Glomerales; Glomeraceae.